RNAcentral lists this long non-coding RNA (469 nucleotides) under Physcomitrium patens. RNAcentral describes it as "long non-coding RNA (PPAT_LNC009731)". The record is from RNAcentral. Lineage: Eukaryota; Viridiplantae; Streptophyta; Bryopsida; Funariales; Funariaceae.
UAGUUUCUCAGGGCCAUUUGAGCUUUGAAGACUAAGGUCAGUAAGUUUAGGUUUUUGGCUAUGAUUUUGGUGCAAGUUUUGUAUGGUUUGGAGUUUAUAUGAAGGAGAUACAAGUGCUCAAAGUUAAGGUGUUGAUUUGGAAGCUAUUGUCACUCUUUUUGGCAUAACGCAUGCGUACAGAUAGAAAUUGAGGAAUUUUGAUUGCGAUUGAAGAGAGUACUUUUGCGGCUAAACUUUUCACAUAUUGCUUACUGGAUUCCAAGUUACAAUGAAGGAGUUAUUGGAUUUUGAAGUCAACACAUGUAAUCUAAGGGUAGUAAGUGACCCGAUUUACUAGUGGUUGUAUCUUGAGCAAUAUCAUGAGCAAUUCGAUAAGGUUUUGGCUUAAAAUUUUAGAAAAUGUGUAAUUUCAUGUUUGUAAACUUUGUACAUAAGUUUUAUAAUACUUGAGUAUUGGAUUCUUGAGAUA